This 758-nucleotide non-coding RNA is filed under the name Pongo abelii (Sumatran orangutan). The record is from RNAcentral. Lineage: Eukaryota; Metazoa; Chordata; Mammalia; Primates; Hominidae.
UCUUCCUUUCAUCUAACGUAUUUAUUGAGCACCUACUGUGUGCCAGGCCUUGUGCUAGACUCUGGUGAUAUGGAAAUGAGCAAAGUAGAUGUACCCCCAAAACUUGUGGACUAAUGGAGGAGACGGACCUUAAUCAGAUCAUCAUUCAAAGAUACUAUCACAAACUGUUCUGAGAGCUGAGGAAGCAGGAAGGAGCUGUGAGAGACUGAGCUCUAACCUUGGCCAUCAAAGACAAGCUGUGCAGUUCUGGUUUUUUGAGGGCAGGACUUGGAGGGUCAGGCCCAGCUGGAGGUGCACCAAAGCCCAGAGAAAAUUCAGAACCACAUGAGCUUGUUGGAUUUCAGCCCCCUGAAGCACAUGUUGCUAUUGCAGCUGCCUUGGUAACUGGGGGGACAGGCGGAGCAGGGCCUUCCCACCUUGUACGGGGCCUCGCCAAUCCAGUUGCCCCUGAAAGAGAAAAGGUCCCAGGGAGACAGAGGAGGGUUAGGCUACUAAUGACUUCAAGAACAUCAGAAUAAUACAAUAUAAAGAAUUUGGAAUUUAGAAUCAAAAGACUGAUUCUUCUGAACCAGCUCUACUACUUGUUGGCUUUGUGACAUUUGGUAAAUUACUCAACCUUGCUGAACCUCAAUUUCUUAAUUUGUAAAGAGAAACAAUGUUCUCCUAGUGUUCCCCCCUUUUUCCUUCUUUCUUUCAUCUCUUCAAUGAGAUAAUGGGAAAGUAGUUUGUAAAUGAUUAAAGGCUAUGUGACAGUAAAA